This 451-nucleotide ribosomal RNA is filed under the name uncultured bacterium. Its description in RNAcentral is "partial 16S ribosomal RNA". It matches the Rfam family "Bacterial small subunit ribosomal RNA", at positions 354 to 796 of the family's 1533-position model. The record is from RNAcentral.
GUGGGGAAUAUUGCGCAAUGGGGGAAACCCUGACGCAGCGACGCCGCGUGAGCGAAGAAGGCCUUAGGGUUGUAAAGCUCUGUUUUAAGGGACGAAUGUCGUGGGGAGUAAUAUGCUCUGCGAAUGACGGUACCUUAAGAGGAAGCCCCGGCUAACUACGUGCCAGCAGCCGCGGUAAGACGUAGGGGGCGAGCGUUGUCCGGAAUUACUGGGCGUAACGAGCACGUAGGCGGGAACUUAAGUCAGGUGUGAAAGACCGGGGCUCAACUCCGGGGUUGCACUUGAAACUGGGUUUCUUGAGGGCAGGAGAGGAAAGCAGAAUGCCUGGUGUAGCGGUGAAAUGCGUAGAAAUCAGGAGGAAUACCAGUGGCGAAGGCGGCUUCCUGGCACAAUACUGACGCUCAUGUGCGAAAGCUAGGGCAGCGAACGGGAUUAGAAACCCGAGUAGUCC